Vespula vulgaris is the source of this 3320-nucleotide long non-coding RNA. RefSeq lists it as uncharacterized. The transcript is spliced from 2 exons. The record is from RefSeq and is a predicted model, not a curated record. Lineage: Eukaryota; Metazoa; Arthropoda; Insecta; Hymenoptera; Vespidae.
CAAUUUGCCGCGGUAUCGUCAUUAGUUAAUCGUAGCCCUCCCCCUAGUUGACGGCAAAGAUUUCCAAUGGCGGUUCCGGAGUUUAGCCUCCUGCGUGCUGCUGGGGAUGAGGCUCUAUGGACCCAACGCACGUGCUCACAUCUGUGUUGGCAUCUGGUAUUUCCUGCUUUCUAUUUGUUGGGCACGUUUCUCUUUGUAUAAUGAUAGGAGGCUUAGUGCCUAUUUAUUAUAAACAUAUGUCUAAUCCUUAAAUUGGUUAGGAUUUUUAAUGCCCAUUUUAAUUCUACGAAAAGGAAGAUAUUACUUAUUUAUGGUUACAUAGUUCUGUCUUAAGUUGGGUCGACGCAGGACGUAACAUAGAACAUAUCCCUGGGGAAAAUCCUCAAGAUCUUUUUUAUCAUAUAUCAAAUUUUGCAAAAUACUAUAACACUUGCCAAACUGGAAAACAACGAAAAGUAACAGAAUCUACAACUUCUUUAUCAAACACAUGAUUAGCACCCACAAAAUAUUAUUCCAAGCCAUAAAAACUAUCUGCAUAAAAGAAGAAGAGAUAGAAAUAUGGUUUUAUAAGGGAAUCAUAUAUUUAAUUUCUAAGGGUAAACAUACUGGUGGGAAAGACUUCAGGUAGAUUACCUGCGUGUCUAACCUCUAUAAGUUGACUAUGAAGUGUAUAACCAAAAUAUUACAAUUUGACGUAGAAAGUCGAGAAUUGUUGGCAGAAAACUAACUAGGUACAGUUAAAAGAGUGUAAAGGGUCAAGAGUAAGCCUUAUUAAAUCUGAUGAUUAAUAAGGAUAAUCAAAAUAUAUUUAAAAUAGUUUGGAUUGAUGUUAAAAAAGUCUAUGACUCUAGAACAUAAAUAUUUAAUUAUCUGCCUGGAAAAAAUAAGUAUGCUAAAUUGAAUUAUAAAAUUUUUAAAAAUGUAUUUAGGAAAUGUAAAACUUUCUAUAAGGAACAAUGGAAAAUAAUUUUUGAAAAAGAAGAUAGAGAGAAUAUACAAGAAGAUAGUCUUUCUCCUUUAUUAUUCAUUCUAUAUUUAGAUCUGUUAAGAGAACUGGAUAGGAAAUACUCAAGUAUUCAUAUGGAUAAUUUGUUAUACUCUAUGAUUAUAUCACCAUUUAUUGUUUAUUGAUGAUUUAAAAAUAUUAGCAUAAGAAGAACAACAUUUAGAAUCUAUGAUAAAUGAAACAAAAAUGUUUUUUGAAUAUGUUGGAUUAGAAAUGAACAAGGAAAAAUCAGUAACUAACUCGAAAAUAAUUGAAGAUAGUGCGACUUGUCUACGUAAACUGAAGGACUUGAGUAUCUUAACAUAACAGAAUCAGUACAAAGUAGGAUAAAUAAGGAAACAAUUGAUUAAGUAAUUAAAGAGUUGAUAAGUUCUGUAAGUCUAAGUUGAACGGCAGAAAUCUUGUAAAAGCGAUUAAUGAGCAUUCGAUCUUACUAAUAAAUUACUAUAUAAGGGUGAUUAAUUUAGAAUUUCUGAUAUAUAGCAAUAUCAAUAAAUAAAUCAGACAGAUUUGAAUAAGGAAUAACAUUCACAGAUAACUUGAAUUUAAAGAAAAGCUGCCCAGAGAUGAACUAGGCAGAGGAUUCAAAAUAUAGAAUUUAAAAGUGAAAUAAUGCUGUUAGAACUAAAAACGCAAUUAAAACAGAGUUCCUAAUCAUUCGAUCAUUAAAAAGAAAAGUAAUUUUAAAAAUAGAUGAGAAAUGUAGUAUUCAUCUAUUCCAUAUAGAAAAGUAUGUUUGGAUUAAAUAUAAAAUAGAAGACAAUAUUUAUUGGAUAACUAUAUAGGAAGAUAAUUACCAAAAAGCAACACAAAAAUCUCUAUAAUGAUAUUAAAAAUAAAACGAAUCACCCGAUGUUAUACAAGCUUAAGAACUCUUCUGCCUUUUCAAUAAAAGGAUCCUUAAUAUGACUAAAGAAGAGCAAUAUUAGAGCCAUGGAAGAAAUAGCGUUAUGCUACAUAUAAGAUAGAAAUAUUUUCAUUGAUGAGAUAUAAAAUUGGAAUCACUGGAGAAGAUGGCAAUAGUGGAACAUCUCGCAAUGAGAUGCAAUAGAAUGUUAUCCUUUGAUUACGCCAGGAGACAUACUAAACUGAUGAGAUGCAUACAUUUACAAUUAUGCUUAAAAUAUGACCUCAAAAAGUUCCAAGAAAAUAAAAAAUCACAGUGCAGGAAAUAUUGAGUACUGAAAGUAGAAUGGAUACAAUAAAGACAAAUGUCAAAACUCAGAACACUAAACCUGACAUAUCCGUCUUUGAUAAUGUAAAAAAGAAUAUAACUUUAAUUGGAGUAGGAAUAACAUUAAUUGGUAGAUAAUUUACAAACAUUGGAAGUAGAAAAGACAAGAAAAUAUGACCUGCUUACUAAUGAAUUAGGUCUGUUGUACAGAUGUAAAAUGUGAAUUAUUCCAUAUGUUAUAACCUAGAAUAGGUUAAUUACAGUAUAUCACAAGAAUUGCGUCAAAGCACUUGACAUCUAACAUUAAGAUAUACAUCCAAGCCCAAGUAAUUAAGAAGACCUUGAAGAAUAUCUCAUUUGACUAUAAACGAGGACUUUAAGAAGGAAGAAAUAAAAUAGAAGAACUAGAGAUGUUGAUGAUUAAAACAUGUUCAAGACAAGAUGUACAAUCGUUAAUUAUAAACUCUACAAAAGAAAAUGGUAACUUCAUUAAGUUUUAUUUUAUUUUUGUGUCCAACUUGAGUUACUAGAAUCAGAUAUAGUAAAUUUCUUUAUAAUUUCAUUAUUUCUAUUAUUAUAAUAUCUAAAUAGUAAUCAGUUUCAUAAUAUCAGUUUAUGGUUACAAUAUGGAAAUUUCUGAUCAUGUAUCAUAAAUUAUAGUUAUGUCUCAUGCCCAACAAUAUUAUUUGGGGUUUAUUAAUAAAAAAGUUUCUAAAAACUUUACAUAAAUUAUUAAGAUCAUUAUAGAAAUUUCAAUGGAACAAGUUAGGUGAAAUAAAAUACAAUAACGAGGAUAAAAAAAUAAUAUAAAUAUGUGAAAUAUAAAUAAGGUGAUUAAAUCGUUAAUAUAAAUGGAACACUUAUACUUCGAAAUAAAGAAAAAUGUCAAAAACAUGCGACAUUGUUUUUAAAAGUGGCUGAAAAAGAACUUUAAUUUAGAUAAAGAUGAUAGAAAACUGUCAUCAAUGAAAGAAUAUUUUAAAAACCUUAUGGAUUUAAAUCAAAUCCCGAAUUUGUUUCAUUAAAAAAGGAAUAACACAGUUAUACUCAUGAAGAUAAUGUUUUAAUAGGUAUACACUGAAUACUGUAGAAACCAUUUGUAUUUUUAUAAUACAAAUAAAUACUAUGAAUAUAAAAUUA